UUCUAUGACGUUAGCGGCGGACGGGUGAGUAACACGUGGGCAACCUGCCUGUAAGACUGGGAUAACUCCGGGAAACCGGAGCUAAUACCGGAUAACAUUUUUUCUUGCAUAAGAGAAAAUUGAAAGAUGGUUUCGGCUAUCACUUACAGAUGGGCCCGCGGUGCAUUAGCUAGUUGGUGAGGUAACGGCUCACCAAGGCAACGAUGCAUAGCCGACCUGAGAGGGUGAUCGGCCACACUGGGACUGAGACACGGCCCAGACUCCUACGGGAGGCAGCAGUAGGGAAUCUUCCGCAAUGGACGAAAGUCUGACGGAGCAACGCCGCGUGAGUGAUGAAGGCUUUCGGGUCGUAAAACUCUGUUGUUAGGGAAGAACAAGUACAAGAGUAACUGCUUGUACCUUGACGGUACCUAACCAGAAAGCCACGGCUAACUACGUGCCAGCAGCCGCGGUAAUACGUAGUGGCAAGCGUUAUCCGGAAUUAUUGGGCGUAAAGCGCGCGCAGGCGGUUUCUUAAGUCUGAUGUGAAAGCCCACGGCUCACCCGUGAGGGUCAUUGGAAACUGGGGAACUUGAGUGC
This 579-nucleotide ribosomal RNA is filed under the name Priestia flexa. RNAcentral describes it as "bacterial SSU rRNA". It matches the Rfam family "Bacterial small subunit ribosomal RNA", at positions 82 to 649 of the family's 1533-position model. Lineage: Bacteria; Bacillati; Bacillota; Bacilli; Caryophanales; Bacillaceae. The record is from RNAcentral.